This 402-nucleotide ribosomal RNA is filed under the name Verrucomicrobiota bacterium. RNAcentral describes it as "Verrucomicrobia bacterium partial 16S ribosomal RNA". It matches the Rfam family "Bacterial small subunit ribosomal RNA", at positions 355 to 776 of the family's 1533-position model. Lineage: Bacteria; Pseudomonadati; Verrucomicrobiota. The record is from RNAcentral.
UGGGGAAUUUUGCACAAUGGGGGAAACCCUGAUGCAGCGACGCCGCGUGAUUUAGAAGGCCUUCGGGUUGUAAAAAUCUUUUGUAUGGGAAGAAAAUGACAGUACCAUACGAAUAAGGACCGGCUAAUUACGUGCCAGCAGCCGCGGUAAUACGUAAGGUCCGAGCGUUGUCCGGAAUCAUUGGGCGUAAAGGGUACGUAGGCGGAUAAGCAAGUUAGAAGUGAAAUCCUAUAGCUCAACUAUAGUAAGCUUUUAAAACUGCUCAUCUUGAGGUAUGGAAGGGAAAGUGGAAUUCCUAGUUUAGCGGUGAAAUGCGCAGAUAUUAGGAGGAAUACCGGUGGCGAAGGCGACUUUCUGGCCAUGAACUGACGCUGAGGUACGAAAGCGUGGGUAGCAAACAGG